This 22-nucleotide ribosomal RNA is filed under the name Symbiodinium sp. C8a. RNAcentral describes it as "partial 28S ribosomal RNA". Lineage: Eukaryota; Dinophyceae; Suessiales; Symbiodiniaceae. The record is from RNAcentral.
UAGCCUGAAGUCAGACAAGUGA